This 242-nucleotide ribosomal RNA is filed under the name uncultured bacterium. RNAcentral describes it as "partial 16S ribosomal RNA". It matches the Rfam family "Bacterial small subunit ribosomal RNA", at positions 92 to 334 of the family's 1533-position model. The record is from RNAcentral.
CGACCGGCGCACGGGUGAGUAACGCGUAUCCAACCUGCCUUACACUCUUGGACAGCCUUCUGAAAGGGAGAUUAAUACAAGAUGUUAUCAUGAGUAAGCAUUUUCACAUGAUUAAAGGUUUACCGGUGUAAGAUGGGGAUGCGUUCCAUUAGAUAGUAGGCGGGGUAACGGCCCACCUAGUCAACGAUGGAUAGGGGUUCUGAGAGGAAGGUCCCCCACAUUGGAACUGAGACACGGUCCAA